UGCUCUAUUUCUCCUCUAAAACCAGCAGCUAAGCUUCUCUAUUUUCCCUUCAAAAAUCAGCAGCCAAAAAAAAAAAGAUUAACAACAAAAAUCGCACCUUACAACCUCCAAAAUCAACUGCAAAAAUCUGCACUUCUCAGCCUCCAAAACCAGCAGCAAAACUACACUUUUCAACCUCCAAAAUUAGUAGCUAAAGCUGCUCCUCUCACCCCUUAAAUGGACAGAAAAAUGCUCUCUUUUCCUCCUUAAAUGGCAGCAAAA
RNAcentral lists this long non-coding RNA (261 nucleotides) under Theobroma cacao (cacao). Its description in RNAcentral is "long non-coding RNA (TCAC_LNC000375)". The record is from RNAcentral. Lineage: Eukaryota; Viridiplantae; Streptophyta; Magnoliopsida; Malvales; Malvaceae.